AAGGUCCUCCACCUCUGGGGGACGGUCUGGUCUGGAGGCACGUCCGGAAUCGGAGGGGCUCGAACCUCAGAAUUUCUGCGUCUGUGCCCGGGAACCUGCCAUGGACCAGAGAGCAGACCGCAGGGGACUGACGUGCGCUGCCCACUCGGCUGCAGGAAGGACAUGCUCUCUGGACUCACGGAGGGCCUGGGGAAAUCUGGAGAGGACUGCGACAGGAAUGAUUGAUGACAAAGUCAAGGCCGGAGUCCUUGAGACACGUGGGACCCUGGCCUGGACCCUGGAGAGCUGAGCAUCUUGCAAGAGAAGACAUGCAGUCCUCCUCGCCGCUCUGCACUCAGGGACGGUGUGGCGGUGGCUGGAAUCCGACAGAUGGACAUGGAUUCAUAGACAAAGAUGCGUAGACACGGAUGCUUGGGUGAAUUCAUAGACAAAGACACAUAGAAACGGAUGCAUGGGUGGAUUCAUAGACAAAGAUGUGUAGACACGGAUACAUGAGUGAAUUCACAAAGAUGUGUAGAAAUGGAUGCAUGGGUGAAUUCACAAAGACACGUAGACACGGAUGCAUGGGUGAAUUCAUAGACAAAAACACAUAGACAUGGAUGCAUGGGUGGAUUCACAGACAAAGACACACAGACACGGAUUCAUGGGUGAAUUUGUAGACAAAGACAUGUAGACACAGAUGCAUGGGUGGAUUCAUAGACAAAGAUGCAUAGACAUGGAUGUGUGGGUGGAUUCACAGACAAAGACGCACAGACACGGAUGCAUGUAUGUGGACACACUUUAUGGGUGCCGGGACCACAGAAACAGGCACGCUCUACAUCAGGGCUCUCCCCAGCCUGCCAAGAGCCAGUUGUAAGGCAUUUACCAAGUACGCCUCGACUAAAAGCCUUCUCUAUCCUUAAUUCAAGUGGGCUGCUUUACUGGUUUUGGUUCUCACUUGAAACUCCUGCAGGAUGGCCUGUCCCAUAGCCGACCUUGGGAUCUGACAUGUGUCUGCUGCCUUGCCUUGUCCCUGCAGGUCUGCUGAAGUCACCACAUGUCGGGCAGCUCUUCCCCCCACUGGGGAAAGGACGACCCCACUUCUCUCCCUGUCCCCCGCGAAGUCAGCCUCUGACACUCUGAACCCAGUGUUGCACCUUAUUCCUCCCAAAUAACUUCCCACUGCUUCUCUGCAAUGCUCCAUCACUUAUCAGCUUCAUGGCCUUGAUAGUC
This is a non-coding RNA of Odocoileus virginianus texanus, 1212 nucleotides long. The record is from RefSeq and is a predicted model, not a curated record. NCBI's taxonomy places the organism in Eukaryota, Metazoa, Chordata, Mammalia, Artiodactyla, Cervidae.